AAGGGUUUAGUUUAUUUAAAACAUUAUUUUGUCAAAUUAAAAAAAUUAAUUAUAAUAACUCUUU
Molecule: transfer RNA, 64 nt
Filed under: Atkinsoniella tiani
Lineage: Eukaryota; Metazoa; Arthropoda; Insecta; Hemiptera; Cicadellidae
Also listed under: 1 other name
Description: tRNA-Asp
Source: RNAcentral